CCUGCCCAACAGAGGCGUUGCAGGUAUGGCUGCCAUGUUGCAUGUGCAUCAGUAGGUGGCAGAAGGAGAGCGGCUAUGUCUAUGCUCAGUGUUUGAUCUGGGAACAUCCGAAUGAUUAGUAGCCUAACCCU
Molecule: small nucleolar RNA, 131 nt
Organism: Acomys russatus (golden spiny mouse)
Lineage: Eukaryota; Metazoa; Chordata; Mammalia; Rodentia; Muridae
Product: small nucleolar RNA SNORA17
Exons: 1
Source: RefSeq, a predicted model, not a curated record